This 428-nucleotide ribosomal RNA is filed under the name Chloroflexota bacterium. Its description in RNAcentral is "Chloroflexi bacterium partial 16S ribosomal RNA". It matches the Rfam family "Bacterial small subunit ribosomal RNA", at positions 355 to 776 of the family's 1533-position model. Lineage: Bacteria; Bacillati; Chloroflexota. The record is from RNAcentral.
UGGGGAAUAUUGCACAAUGGGCGCAAGCCUGAUGCAGCCAUGCCGCGUGUGUGAAGAAGGCCUUCGGGUUGUAAAGCACUUUCAGCGGGGAGGAAGGCGGUGAGGUUAAUAACCUCAUCGAUUGACGUUACCCGCAGAAGAAGCACCGGCUAACUCCGUGCAGCAGCCGCGGUAAUACGGAGGGUGCAAGCGUUAAUCGGAAUUACUGGGCGUAAAGCGCACGCAGGCGGUCUGUCAAGUCGGAUGUGAAAUCCCCGGGCUCAACCUGGGAACUGCAUUCGAAACUGGCAGGCUAGAGUCUUGUAGAGGGGGGUAGAAUUCCAGGUGUAGCGGUGAAAUGCGUAGAGAUCUGGAGGAAUACCGGUGGCGAAGGCGGCCCCCUGGACAAAGACUGACGCUCAGGUGCGAAAGCGUGGGGAGCAAACAGG